AACGAACGCUGGCGGCGUGGAUAAGACAUGCAAGUCGGACGCUGAUUAGGGGGUAGCAAUAUUCCCUAGUCGGAGUGGCGCAAGGGUGCGUAACACGUGGGUAAUCUGCCGUGAAGUUUGGGACAACUCGCUGAAAGGCGAGCUAAUACCGGAUGUGAAUGUCAGGAGGCAUCUUUUGGCAUUUGAAGCUGGGGACCGAAAGGCCUGGCGCUUCAUGAUGAGCCCGCGGCCUAUCAGCUAGUUGGUGAGGUAACGGCCCACCAAGGCGAAGACGGGUAGCUGGUCUGAGAGGACGACCAACCACACUGGAACUGAGACACGGUCCAGACACCUACGGGUGGCAG
This 344-nucleotide ribosomal RNA is filed under the name uncultured Verrucomicrobiota bacterium. Its description in RNAcentral is "bacterial SSU rRNA". It matches the Rfam family "Bacterial small subunit ribosomal RNA", at positions 29 to 351 of the family's 1533-position model. Lineage: Bacteria; Pseudomonadati; Verrucomicrobiota. The record is from RNAcentral.